This 443-nucleotide ribosomal RNA is filed under the name uncultured bacterium. RNAcentral describes it as "partial 16S ribosomal RNA". It matches the Rfam family "Bacterial small subunit ribosomal RNA", at positions 338 to 795 of the family's 1533-position model. The record is from RNAcentral.
CCUACGGGUGGCAGCAGUGGGGAAUAUUGGGCAAUGGGCGCAAGCCUGACCCAGCAACGCCGCGUGAAGGAAGAAGGCUUUCGGGUUGUAAACUUCUUUUCUGAGGGACGAAGAAAGUGACGGUACCUCAGGAAUAAGCCACGGCUAACUACGUGACAGCAGCAGCGGUAAUACGUAGGUGGCAAGCGUUAUCCGGAUUUAUUGGGUGUAAAGGUCGUGUAGGCGGGAAAGCAAGUCAGAUGUGAAAUCUCAGGGCUCAACCCUGAGACUGCAUUGGAAACUGUUUUUCUUGAGUGCUGGAGAGGCAAGCGGAAGUCCGGGUGUAGCGGUGAAAUGCGUAGAGAUACGGAGGAACACCAGUGGCGAAGGCGGAUUGCUGGACAGUAACUGACGCUGAGGCGCGAAAGCGUGGGGAGCAAACAGGAUUAGAUACCCUAGUAGUC